This is a long non-coding RNA of Xiphias gladius (swordfish), 660 nucleotides long. RefSeq lists it as uncharacterized. The record is from RefSeq and is a predicted model, not a curated record. The transcript is spliced from 4 exons. Lineage: Eukaryota; Metazoa; Chordata; Actinopteri; Istiophoriformes; Xiphiidae.
AGAUAAAGAAAAACAACCACCACAAGCUAAGAAUGCAAAGACGGCUUCCCGUAAGGCCUGAGAAGAGCCCCAAGCGGAGGACAAUACUACAGAGAAGAAGAAACCAGGCCAGAGAUACUUCCAGUGCAUUUAUGUCCCUGGUAAAAAUGCCCAGUACCCCUUGCGACCUUUCACCCCAGCCGUGUCCCCCACCGUGAUGUCCCCUGCAAUCCGGUCGAUGUUGGAGCAGCAGAGAGCGGCCAGGGAGUCGGAGCAAUAGGACGACCUGGCCUCCCACGUCGUCGCCGAUGGCACCGCACUCCCAGUCCAGCAGGGGGAGUUGUUUGAAUCUGUGGCAUCCCGAAAUUCAAAGGAUAGCCUCGGACAGACCGACAGAAAGAAGUGGACAGAACUAUUUUGUCUUUAAUUUAUUUAUGUAUUUAUUUUCUCUCUCUGUGGUUGAGCUCCUGGGGUUUCUGUUGAUAUUUUCCCCCUCGUGAUGAUGCUUCGCUGUGUUUUGCUUCACUAGUUGUCACUUCCAUGCCUUGCUUGUGUCUUAGAUACAAUUUAAUAUCACCGACAUCCAAACGAGGAAGCAUUUUUGUCAAUAUUCGUAACUCAAUAUGAUGUACAUAAUGCAUACGUUUAUAAUUAGGGCUCAGAUAAAUGUUCGAAACCUUA